UUCUGUAAAAAAAAAAGGUACCCAAAAAGAACCCAGCAACCCUUCCUCCUACAGGACCGCCACCUCCUCCUCUUCCAAUGCCGACCCUUCCCAGCCGCCACCUUCGCCUGUGCUCGCCAGAAAAUCGAGAAAAGUUGUCGAAUUUACAUAAAUUUUUUGGAGCUUGUUCCGGCAAUUCCGGCAAUUUCGGCACCAAAUCUUGCAAUCUAGGUACACUUUUUCAUCCUCUUAAUGUGUUCUAGCUGAUGGUUGGGUUAUUUAGGAUCGAUUUCUGCGUUUUGUCACUUGAUUUAGCGAUUAAAAUUUGGUCAAUUUUCGGCUCUCAAUUUCG
RNAcentral lists this long non-coding RNA (331 nucleotides) under Prunus persica (peach). Its description in RNAcentral is "long non-coding RNA (PPER_LNC000622)". The record is from RNAcentral. Lineage: Eukaryota; Viridiplantae; Streptophyta; Magnoliopsida; Rosales; Rosaceae.